Ctenopharyngodon idella (grass carp) is the source of this 2727-nucleotide long non-coding RNA. RefSeq lists it as uncharacterized. The transcript has 2 exons. NCBI's taxonomy places the organism in Eukaryota, Metazoa, Chordata, Actinopteri, Cypriniformes, Xenocyprididae. The record is from RefSeq and is a predicted model, not a curated record.
AGUAACAUCCACAUGGAUGGUAGGACCCAAGGUUUCCCAGCAGAACAUUGCCCAAAACAUCACACUGCCUCCGCCGGCUUGCCUUCUUCCCAUAGUGCAUCCUGGUGCCAUGUGUUCCCCAGGUAAGCGACACACGCACCCGGCCAGCCACGUGAUGUAAAAGAAAAUGUGAUUCAUCAGACCAGAACACCUUCUUCCAUUGCUCUGUGGUCCAGUUCCGAUGCUCACGUGCCCACUGUUGGUGCUUUCGGCGGUGGACAGGGGUCAGCAUGGACACCCUGACUGGUCUAUGGCUGUGAUGCACUGUGUAUUCUGACACCUUUCUAUCAGAACCAGUAUUCACUUCACCUGUCAGUGGUCAUAAUGUUAUGUCUGAUUGGUGUAUAUAUAGUCUCUCACAUUGUAGUCACUAUAGAAGGUUACCUAACUAUGACAACUUCCGCUUCUGAGAAACCCGGGAAUGUGAAAACGGUCCAGUUAAACUACACUCCUCGCAGCCUGGUUUUCAUUUCUUUGAAAAAAAAGAAAAGAAAAAAAAAAAAGUCUAUACUGACACUGCACAUCGUAAACACCUGCAUGCAUCAAGUGGUUUAAACCCUAACCAAGUUAACAUGACAGGAAAGACUUUAAACAAAUGCACUUGAAAUGCAGGCCUACUUGAGUUUAGUCAUUUCUAUUCUGUUGUGUUCUAUUUUAAAAAGCUCCUCAAACCGAACAAAUAUUUCAGGGGGAAACAAGAAACUGGUUAGCAUGGCCUAUUGCUGGUAGAUGCUGGUAACUACACCAUCUGACUCCAAAGAGAAAAAAAACAAGCAAAAAUACAAAUAAAGUAAAAGAACUGUGUCGACCACAGUGUGUUUUGUGCAGCAAAUUACUGACUGCAAAAAACAUCAUUAACGUUUAUUUAUAUAAUGGCAUGUAGGCUACAGUUGAAGAAAAUAUCAAAUUAGUGUUAUCAUGAGUCAUAUUGUUGUCUGUUACAGGUAUGAAAUAUGACUUUUUUUCAAAAAGUCAAAAAAUUAUAUAUAUUAUAAACAGAAUAAAACACUAUAGAUGUGUGGUCAGCAAGCUUGACUUUAACUUUCUCUCGAAGAUCCUUAAUGAAGAUCAUGUGCUUUUGAAAUUAAUAAAUUGAUUUAUGAUGUUUUAUAUAUAAUAAUAAUAAUCCAUAUUGUGUGCGUGUGAGGUGUUUAUGUCGCUGAUCUGCUCAUAUAGUGUGAAGCUGCAGAGACUUUAAUAGAUCAACAGAUUUGGGGCAAAAUGUGACUAUAACCUGUGAUUUUGAUGGACAAGAGGUUAACUGGUUAUUACUGAAACUACCAGAUUCUCUGGUUAUGAUAUUAAACACUUUUUCAUCUGCAGCUCCUCGUUGCUACAAUAAUAGAUUUAGACACAAAUAUUUAGUGCGAAGUAAACAUUGCCUGUUCAUAUUAUAUAAUGUCACUGUUGAUGAUUUAGGGCUUUAUUACUGUGUCCACAGACACACCUCCAAAAUACAGCAAUGGUACCAAACUACAUCAUUGGUGAGUUCAGUGAUCAUGUUAUUACACUUUCUUUUUUGAUAGAAUUGCAUUUGUUUCUCUUCUGUAAAAAAUAAAUAAUAAAAUAAAAAAUAAAAGUGUUCUUGGAAGGAAGAAAACCAGAGACAAACAAUUUCAAAAUACAAACCAACAGCAACUUCAAGUUAUGGAUCUUAAACAACCUCAAGACUCAAGCCUAGUGCAGUACACAAAAGAGGAUAUUCUGAAGAAUACUGUUUUUAUCCAUACAAUAAAAGACAAUGCAUGGGGUCCAAAAACAACAUUGGACCCCAUUAACUUUCAUGAGCAAAAAAUAAAUAAAUAAAUCUUCUUUUAUAUUCCACAGACAAUGUCUCUGAGAGUGUAGAAUUGUAUUAAUUCAUAAAAUCAGUCCAUAUAACUUUGCAUUCUGUUUACAUGGUAUAUUGUUUUCCUGUUGCUUUACACUGUGGUGGACUUUCUACACCAUGGUGAAGGUUUCAGUCCAGCCAAGUCAACAACACCUAUACACUUGUACAGCUGCUGAAAUCAAGCUGAAGAAAUCACACUUGACCCCAUUUAGUUUAAUUUCUCAUUGUAUUUGACAAAAUGUAAUUUAUCAGGCAUUGUAUACAUAUAGUUUUUUUUUUUUGAGCUUGCAGAAUGAACAAUUACAUGCCAAAAAUAACUGCUGCUAUUAUUGUGCAUUGGAUACAUAUACAUGUGAUUUCUGUUUGAUUAAAAAAAUGUUGGGUUUUUAGACGCGUUUUAAACUGGAACCCAAACAGCAAAACCCCAAAACAUAUAUUUGUCAGACACGCCAGGCUCUACCAUCACCCAACCACAGCGCACGUCAUCACCCGAGUUCUAAUCACGCAUGCCUGCAUCCCAUCAGCACAGUCAUCAACAGCAGCACAAAAGGCACACGCACUCACACAGUCACUGUCCGGUCUCGUUUGCACAUUGUCUUACCUGUAAGCUUACCUCAAGGACUCCUUCCAAGAUACUUACCUGGUCUCCAGCGUGUUCCCAAGUCUCCUUUGUUGUUCCUCGUCUCGUGUGAGUUCCUCAGUGUCUUCUCAGCUCCAGUCUGUCAUCUGCCUGCGAUAUCUGCAAGAGAAAAGACAAGUAUCACUCCAGUAUCCAUAUCUGCCACCUGUCAUAUCUGCCAUCUCUUACCUGCACUCUGUAUAUGCUCCUGGUUGUUCAAUAAACUAUGUUACCUGCA